Molecule: RNA transcript, 496 nt
Organism: Propithecus coquereli (Coquerel's sifaka)
Lineage: Eukaryota; Metazoa; Chordata; Mammalia; Primates; Indriidae
Gene name: ATP synthase subunit g, mitochondrial pseudogene
Exons: 1
Source: RefSeq, a predicted model, not a curated record
CUGCCGUGGGUCUUUUUGGAGUGUGACAUUCAGCCGGCCUUUCGGGGCCACGGACUUUGCAUUCUAGCACCAUGGCUCAAUUUUUCUGUAACCUCGCGGAGAAGGCCCGGGCGCUGGUGAAUGCUGCUGUGACUUAUUCGAAGCCUCGACUGGCCACAUUUUGGUACUACGCCAAGGUUGAGCUGGUUCCUCCAACCCCUGCUGAGAUCCCUAGAGCUUUUCAGAGCCUGAAAAAAAUAGUCAAUAGUGCUCAAACUGGUAGCUUCAAACAGCUUACAGUUAAGGAAGCCGUGCUGAAUGGUUUGGUGGCCACUGAGGUGUGGAUGUGGUUUUAUGUCGGAGAGAUCAUAGGCAAGCGUGGCAUCAUUGGCUAUAAUGUUUGAAGACCAAUCUUUAACAUCUGAUUAUAUUUGACUUAUUUGAGUACUCUUGGACCAUGUGUGAUCAGACUGCUAUCUGAAUAAAAUGCGUCAAAAAUCCCAAAAAAAAAAAAAAA